AAUGGUCUCACAGGGCUAAAAAGGAUUUAACUUCCACUGUCUGGCAAGGUCGAGCGUUUUCACAGACCUACUCUUCAAGAAAGAAGGCCUGGUCAAUAUCUUUAAAUUCUUUUCCUUUGAUUUAUAAUCACAAACCAGGAAAGGCUUUCAUACUUGAACUUCACUUCAAGAAGUGACUCGAAGUGAGCUAUACUGGUAAUAAGCGGCGGAUCUGCACAGCAGAUCAAAUAAACAUUAAGAAGACCUCACCGUUGGAGGCCCAAGGACAGAACCUUGUAGCAUAGUGUAUGCCAGUGCCCAAACAUCGAUGUUUAAGAUAUCGUAUGCGUCCACUGCCGUACACUUUCUCUCUAUGUUCUCUAAAGGUUUCCCUAGGAAGCUUGUUCCCGGAUGCUUAAUGACGACUAGAACUUGGCCCGGCAAUACAAAGGUGGUCUCCCCCACGGCAACCUGUCAAGGAACUGCUGAAUCUUGUUUUGCCUGCGCAUUGUGGUGUGACUCAGAAAGCUCAGAAACCCUGUCCAUUUCAAUGCCUCAUCACUGGAUAUUUUCCCCAGAGCUUUGCCCCCUAAGCCUUGUUCUCUCUGUCAAUCCGCCAGCGCUUCGCAUAGCAGGCAGCA
This 620-nucleotide long non-coding RNA is filed under the name Coccomyxa subellipsoidea. RNAcentral's name for it is "long non-coding RNA (CSUB_LNC000083)". The record is from RNAcentral. Lineage: Eukaryota; Viridiplantae; Chlorophyta; Trebouxiophyceae; Coccomyxaceae.